CCUACGGGUGGCAGCAGUGGGGAAUAUUGGGCAAUGGAGGAAACUCUGACCCAGCAACGCCGCGUGAAUGAUGAAGGUCUUCGGAUUGUAAAGUUCUUUUCUAAGGGAAGAAGAAAGUGACGGUACCUUAGGAUUAAGCCUUGGCUAACUACGUGCCAGCAGCCGCGGUAAUACGGAGGAGGCAAGCGUUAUCCGGAAUGACUGGGCGUAAAGGGUGCGUAGGUGGUUUGACAAGUUGGUAGCGUAACUCCGAGGCUUAACCUCGGCACUACUACCAAAACUGGUGGACUCGAGUGCAGGAGGGGCAAGUGGAAUUCCUAGUGUAGCGGUGGAAUGCGUAGAUAUUAGGAGGAACACCAGUGGCGAAGGCGAUUUGCUGGACUGUAACUGACACUGAGGCACGAAAGCGUGGGGAGCAAACAGGAUUAGAUACCCGAGUAGUC
RNAcentral lists this ribosomal RNA (443 nucleotides) under uncultured bacterium. RNAcentral describes it as "partial 16S ribosomal RNA". It matches the Rfam family "Bacterial small subunit ribosomal RNA", at positions 338 to 795 of the family's 1533-position model. The record is from RNAcentral.